Molecule: non-coding RNA, 1616 nt
Organism: Malus domestica (apple)
Lineage: Eukaryota; Viridiplantae; Streptophyta; Magnoliopsida; Rosales; Rosaceae
Source: RefSeq, a predicted model, not a curated record
UCAUAUUUCUUUUUCUCCAUUCCCCAAAACCAAGCUUAAUUCUAUCUUUUACAUUUUUUUCCUUUCUCUUUUCUCUUACUUUUCUAGAACACUCUCUCUAGAAUCAUCUCCAUUUUUUUCUCCUUCCCGUCCAAUUGCCUCCCUGUCUCUCUCUCUCUUCACUUUUUCUCUCACCACCAAAUUCCAUUCUUUUCGCCACUUUCUCCCUCAUCAUCAAAUUCCAUUUUUUCUCAUUCAUUCUCAGAAAAAGCUUCAGGAUUUGUCAUAUGGGUAUUAUUUUUUGAUUUUUCACAAGCUGAAUUUCAUAUGGGUUUCGGCAGAUCGGUAUUUUUUGUCUUCUGGGUUUUGGCUGGCAUCGUGGAGUUUGUCGACAAUGUCGUGGCGGAUGAAGGUGAUGGUCGAGCGAAGAGCGAGAUUGGGAAUCGAGGAAGUUGAGGAUCUAAGUAGAGGAGAAGCGCUGCCUUUCGAUAGCGAGCUCGGCGAUAAAGCUGGGGGCGACACAAAUCUUCAAAGAUCUUUGAUAGAGAUGAAGGGAGGAUAAGAUUGCCAGAAAGUUUCAUUAAAGGGUCACUAUUCACCCGUGUUUUAGAGGUCUGCGUAGAAGCUGAAAAACUAGUUUUUCAAAGUUGCCUCUUGCUGCUUCUGUUUUUUGGUUUUUUUUCACAAAAAAAUUGUGAAAAAAAAGCUAAAGUUGGAAGUUUACCCACCAAAAACUCUUUCAGCUUUUUUUUCAUACAAGUUUUUUUUUAAAAUCACCUCAAUCCCAAACCUGAGCCCUGCCUAAAGUAUGAUCGGUCAGAAAAAGUGAUUCAAGCAGUGCGCAUAUUGAAAGCUUCAUACCAGAAAAAUCUUUCACUUAUGUUUCAUGAAUUUCGGAGAUUAAUAAACUGCAUUAGUAAAAAUGAAAUGACUUAAUUUCCAGGUUGUGAAUUUGUUUGGUGUGGCGAUGGAACCUGCGUAGCAAAUAGAACUGGACACAUAUGCCAAUGCCCUGAGGGCACGUGGAACUUGUUGGAUACGCCAGAAUUAGCAUGCUUUAAAGCAUGUUAUCUUGGAGGAGAUUGUAAGAGUAAGGGAUUUGGUGCACCAGAAAAAUCGGAUACUGCUAGCUCUCUGAAGUAUAGUGUAACAUUAACCGUUACCCUGUUGAUAUCGAUCCUUCUAACAUGGAUCUGACAAGAAGCAUUCAGAUGAUGGCCAUGAUUCGAUUGUUCUGCACUUUUUCGGUAUUUUUUCAACUUUGGAACACAGUUAUUUUGGCUUAGAAUAUAUACAGUCAAAAUUUUACAGGCAAUUUGUGAAAUAAAAUAAAAAAAUCUCCAUGAAUUAUUGUACCUCAUGAACACUUUCAAGGGAUGAACCCCAAAUCUAUACCUUCGAAUAGAUUGGUGGACUUACUACAGUACCUAAAUGGUGUGUUGUGACAUUAUGAAAAGGAGCAAAGAAGACAAAGGACAAGGGCAGUGACAGUUUAUCUCGUUUGUUGCUUUCUUAAGUACUAGAGAACAAUGUCAUGUGCCCAAAGGAGGAUUGCUCUGCAUAUAUAUAUAUAUAUAUCGAACUUUCAAACUACAUGAUCAUUAUUUUUUAUUGUACUUCCAAGUGUUAACUCUUAG